GACGAACGCUGGCGGCGUGCUUAACACAUGCAAGUCGAGCGGUAAGGCCCUUUCGGGGGUACGACGAGCGGCGAACGGGUGAGUAACACGUGGGUGACCUGCCCUUACGCUCUGGGAUAAGCCUGGGAAACUAGGGUCUAAUACCGGAUAUGACCUCAUGACUCAUGUUGUGGGGUGGAAAGCCUUGUGCGGCUAGGGAUGGGCCCGCGGCCUAUCAGCUUGUUGGUGGGGUAAUUGCCUACCAAGGCGACGACGGGUAGCCGGCCUGAGAGGGCGACCGGCCACACUGGGACUGAGACACGGCCCAGACUCCUACGGGAGGCAGCAGUGGGGAAUCUUGCGCAAUGGGCGAAAGCCUGACGCAGCGACGCCGCGUGAGGGAUGACGGCCU
Molecule: ribosomal RNA, 391 nt
Filed under: uncultured bacterium
Lineage: Bacteria
Description: bacterial SSU rRNA
Rfam family: Bacterial small subunit ribosomal RNA
Source: RNAcentral